AGUGAACGCUGGCGGUAGGCCUAACACAUGCAAGUCGAACGGCAGCACAGGAGAGCUUGCUCUCUGGGUGGCGAGUGGCGGACGGGUGAGGAAUACAUCGGAAUCUACUCUGUCGUGGGGGAUAACGUAGGGAAACUUACGCUAAUACCGCAUACGACCUACGGGUGAAAGCAGGGGACCUUCGGGCCUUGCGCGAUUGAAUGAGCCGAUGUCGGAUGAGCUAGUUGGCGGGGUAAAGGCCAACCAAGGCGACGAUCCGUAGCUGGUCUGAGAGGAUGAUCAGCCACACUGGAACUGAGACACGGUCCAGACUCCUACGGGAGGCAGCAGUGGGGAAUAUUGGACAAUGGGCGCAAGCCUGAUCCAGCCAUACCGCGUGGGUGAAGAAGGCCUUCGGGUUGUAAAGCCCUUUUGUUGGGAAAGAAAUCCAGCUGGCUAAUACCCGGUUGGGAUGACGGUACCCAAAGAAUAAGCACCGGCUAACUUCGUGCCAGCAGCCGCAGUAA
This 506-nucleotide ribosomal RNA is filed under the name uncultured bacterium. Its description in RNAcentral is "partial 16S ribosomal RNA". It matches the Rfam family "Bacterial small subunit ribosomal RNA", at positions 29 to 523 of the family's 1533-position model. The record is from RNAcentral.